CACGUAGGGUGCGAGCGUUGUCCGGAAUUAUUGGGCGUAAAGAGCUCGUAGGCGGUGUGUCGCGUCGGCCGUGAAAACCUGCAGCUUAACUGUGGGCUUGCGGUCGAUACGGGCAUCACUGGAGUUCGGCAGGGGAGACUGGAAUUCCUGGUGUAGCGGUGAAAUGCGCAGAUAUCUGGAGGAACACCGGUGGCGAAGGCGGCAUCCUGGACCGGCAUUGACGCUGAGGAGCGAAAGCCAGGGGAGCAAACGGG
Molecule: ribosomal RNA, 254 nt
Filed under: uncultured bacterium
Lineage: Bacteria
Description: partial 16S ribosomal RNA
Rfam family: Bacterial small subunit ribosomal RNA
Source: RNAcentral